CCUACGGGAGGCAGCAGUCGAGAAUCAUUCACAAUGGGGGAAACCCUGAUGCUGCGACGCCGCGUGGGGGAAUGAAGGUCUUCGGAUUGUAAACCCCUGUCAUGUGGGAGCAAAUUAAAAAGAUAGUACCACAAGAGGAAGAGCCGGCUAACUCUGUGCCAGCAGCCGCGGUAAUACAGAGGUCUCAAGCGUUGAUCGGAAUCACUGGGCGUAAAGCGUGCGUAGGCUGUUUCGUAAGUCGUGUGUGAAAGGCGCGGGCUCAACCCGCGGACGGCACAUGAUACUGCGAGACUAGAGUAAGGGAGGGGGAAGCGGAAUUCUCGGUGUAGCAGUGAAAUGCGUAGAUAUCGAGAGGAACACUCGUGGCGAAGGCGGGUUCCUGGACAUUAACUGACGCUGAGGCACGAAGGCGAGGGGAGCGAAAGGGAUUAGAUACCCUUGUAGUC
Molecule: ribosomal RNA, 446 nt
Filed under: uncultured bacterium
Lineage: Bacteria
Description: partial 16S ribosomal RNA
Rfam family: Bacterial small subunit ribosomal RNA
Source: RNAcentral